AUAAAAUUUUAGCAAAUCGGGGGGACACCGGCUCACUCGCUCCCUCCCUCCAACGCUGAUAAGUGCCCAAGAGUUCAAUUGCUGGGUCAUAUGAUUAAAGGAUGAUGUUUGGAAAAGUUUCCUGGCAGUUGUGUGGCUUAAAGAAACUCCCAUGGUCAUGUGACUCCAGAUACUUCUUGGGCUGGUUGAAUACAGUGUUUAAUAAAGUGGAUUAUGAACGCAUUAAGGAUGUCGGCCCCGACAGGGCAGCAUCCGAGUGGCUGUCGCGAUGUGGGGCCAUGCAUGAGAGGUGACACAAGAACUACAACAACCUCCCAACAGGCUCUCUAGACAAAUACAAGAUUCAAGCCAUCGAUGCCACAGACACUUGUAUCAUGAAUAUCGAAUUUGAUCACAUGGACGACUUAGAGCAUGCUGAAAAAAUGAGACUAUGCAAGUGUCAUUAUAUCGAGGAUGACUGUUUGCAGAAAAUCGGUCAACUUGAAAAAUUACAAAAGAGCUUAUUGGAAAUGGAAAUAAUUUCCUGUGGGAAUAUCACAGACAAAGGCAUCAUUGCUUUGAGUAAUUUAAGAAACCUCAAGUAUUUGUUGUUAAGUGAUCUUCCUGGAGUUAAAGAAAAAGAAAAUCUUGUCCAAGCCUUUAAGACAGCACUGCCUUCUCUGGAACUAAAAUUAGACUUGAAGUAAAAUAAUAAGUGUCUUAUUUGAGUAUAAAAGAUCAUUUGAAAUUGUUGAUCCUAAAUAGCAACAAAUAUUAUACAAUCACCAAUAGAAUUAUAAGGAUGUCAUAUCAUGACAUUGUAGAAGUAGAGAAUCCACCAUAUGCAGAAAAUAAAUAUUCAGAUGCACUCA
This is a non-coding RNA of Microcebus murinus (gray mouse lemur), 851 nucleotides long. Lineage: Eukaryota; Metazoa; Chordata; Mammalia; Primates; Cheirogaleidae. The record is from RefSeq and is a predicted model, not a curated record.